UACGUAGGGUGCGAGCGUUGUCCGGAAUUAUUGGGCGUAAAGGGCUCGUAGGCGGUUUGUCGCGUCGGGAGUGAAAACCAGGUGCUUAACACCUGGCUUGCUUUCGAUACGGGCAGACUAGAGGUAUUCAGGGGAGAACGGAAUUCCUGGUGUAGCGGUGAAAUGCGCAGAUAUCAGGAGGAACACCGGUGGCGAAGGCGGGUCUCUGGGCAACAACUGACGCUGAGGAGCGAAAGCGUGGGGAGCGAACAGG
This 253-nucleotide ribosomal RNA is filed under the name uncultured bacterium. Its description in RNAcentral is "partial 16S ribosomal RNA". It matches the Rfam family "Bacterial small subunit ribosomal RNA", at positions 524 to 776 of the family's 1533-position model. The record is from RNAcentral.